GGGGAGAGCGAGAGAAGGGCACCUGGUGGAUGCCUUGGCGUCGAGAGGCGAAGAAGGACGCGGCACGCUGCGAUAAGCCUCGGGGAGCCGCGAGCGGGCCUCGAUCCGGGGAUCUCCGAAUGGGGCAACCCACCCCCCGCGAGGGGGGUACCCGGCCGUGAAUCCAUAGCGGCCGGGGGCGAACCCGGGGAACUGAAACAUCUCAGUACCCGGAGGAAAGGACAUCAACCGAGACUCCGUCAGUAGCGGCGAGCGAACGCGGACCAGGCCAGUGGUCGCGAGGUAAGAACCGGAAGCGUCUGGAAAGGCGCGCCAUAGCGGGUGACAGCCCCGUACGGGUAGAAAGCCGCGCGAUCCUCGAGUAGGGCGGGACACGCGAAAUCCUGCCCGAAGACGGGGGGACCACCCUCCAAGCCUAAGUACUCCUCGACGACCGAUAGCGAACCAGUACCGUGAGGGAAAGGUGAAAAGCACCCCGACGAGGGGGGUGAAAGAGACCCUGAAACCGGGUGCCUACAAGCAGUCGGGGCCCGACGCGUCCCCUCGGGGAUGCGGGCGGGUGACGGCGUACCUUUUGCAUAAUGGGUCAGCGAGUCGCGGUCGGCGGCGAGCCUAAGCCGCUAGGCGAAGGCGCAGCGAAAGCGAGUCCGAACAGGGCGAGCAUAGUCGCCGGCCGCGGACCCGAAACCGGGUGAUCUAGCCAUGGGCAGGUUGAAGGUGGGGUGACACCCACUGGAGGACCGGACGCACGCCUGUUGAAAAAGUCGGCGAUGACCUGUGGCUAGGGGUGAAAGGCCAAGCAAACCCGGAGAUAGCUGGUUCUCCGCGAAAGCUAUUGAGGUAGCGCGUCGGGCGGUGGCCCGCGGGGGUAGAGCACUGGAUGGGCUAGGGGGGCGCGAGCCCUACCAAACCUAACCAAACUCCGAAUACCGCGGCGUCCCAGCCCGGCAGACAGGCGGCGGGUGCUAAGGUCCGUCGCCGAGAGGGAAACAGCCCAGACCGCCGGCUAAGGUCCCCAAGUCGCGGCUAAGUGGGAAAGGAUGUGGGGCGGCCACAACAACCAGGAGGUUGGCUUAGAAGCAGCCAUCCUUUAAAGAAAGCGUAACAGCUCACUGGUCUAGCAGCCGCCCCGCGCCGAAGAUGUAACGGGGCUCAAGCCGCGCACCGAAGCCGCGGGUCCGCCGUCCCUCCGGGGCCGGCGGGCGGUAGCGGAGCGUCCCGUAGGCCCGCGAAGCCGUCCCGCGAGGGGCGGUGGAGGCAUCGGGAGUGAGAAUGCUGACAUGAGUAGCGAGAAGGAGGGUGAGAGACCCUCCCGCCGAAAGUCCAAGGGUUCCUGCGCAAGGCUAAUCCGCGCAGGGUGAGCCGGCCCCUAAGGCGAGGGCGAAGGCCGUAGCCGAUGGGAACCAGGUCAACAUUCCUGGGCCCGCUGGAGGUGACGGCGGUCGACAGUCGUCCGGCCUUAUCGGAUUGGCCGGGCUGCCGAGACCGUCCAGGAAACAGCCCCAGCACGAAGGACCGUACCCGAAACCGACACAGGUGGACUGGUCGAGCAUACCGAGGCGUUUGAGAGAACCGUACCGAAGGAACUCGGCAAAUUGCCCCCGUAACUUCGGGAGAAGGGGGCCUCGUCGCCGGGCAACCGGAGGCGAGGGGCACAGGCCAGGGGGUGGCGACUGUUUACUAAAAACACAGGGCUCUGCGAAGUCGCGAGACGACGUAUAGGGUCUGACGCCUGCCCGGUGCCGGAAGGUCAAGGGGAGCGGUGAGAGCCGCGAACCGAAGCCCCGGUAAACGGCGGCCGUAACUAUAACGGUCCUAAGGUAGCGAAAUUCCUUGUCGGGUAAGUUCCGACCUGCACGAAUGGCGUAACGACUUCCCCGCUGUCUCCGGUACGGGCUCAGCGAAAUUGAACUCCCCGUGAAGAUGCGGGGUACCCGCGGUCAGACGGAAAGACCCCGUGCACCUUUACUGCAGCUUCGCGCUGGCGGCCGACGGGGCGUGUGUAGGAUAGGCGGGAGCCAUUGAGGCGGGGGCGCCAGCCCCGGCGGAGGCAGCCUUGAAAUACCGCCCUCGGCCCGUUGGCCGUCUAACCGCGACCCGUGACCCGGGUCCGGGACCCCGCGUGGCGGGCAGUUUGACUGGGGCGGUCGCCUCCCAAAGCGUAACGGAGGCGCGCGACGGUGGGCUCGGGCCGGACGGAAACCGGCCGAUCGAGCGCAAGCGCACAAGCCCGCCUGACUGCGAGGCCGACGGGCCGAGCAGGGACGAAAGUCGGCGCUAGUGAUCCGGUGGUCCCGCGUGGAAGGGCCAUCGCUCAACGGAUAAAAGGUACGCCGGGGAUAACAGGCUGAUGACCCCCAAGAGUCCCCAUCGACGGGGUCGUUUGGCACCUCGAUGUCGGCUCAUCGCAUCCCGGGGCUGGAGCAGGUCCCAAGGGUUCGGCUGUUCGCCGAUUAAAGCGGUACGUGAGCUGGGUUUAGAACGUCGUGAGACAGUUCGGUCCCUAUC
This 2508-nucleotide ribosomal RNA is filed under the name uncultured Armatimonadota bacterium. RNAcentral's name for it is "uncultured Armatimonadetes bacterium LSU rRNA". It matches the Rfam family "Bacterial large subunit ribosomal RNA". The record is from RNAcentral. Lineage: Bacteria; Bacillati; Armatimonadota.